GGGGCUGAGGGGGCAGAGGGGCUCAAGGGGCUGAGGGCUGAGGGGCUGGGGGGUUGAGGAGGCUGAGGGCUGAGGGGCUGAGGGCCUGAGGGACUGAGGGCUGAGGGCUGAGGGGCUGAGGAGGCUGAGGGGGCUGAGGGCUGAGGGGUUGAGGGAGCUGAGGGCUGAGGAGCUGAGGGGUUGAAGGCUGAGGGGCUGAGGGCUGAGGGGUUGAAGGGGCUGACGGGCUAAGGGGCUGAAGGGGCUGAGGGAGCUGAGGGCUGAGGAGCUGAGGGGUUGAAGGCUGAGGGGCUGAGGGCUGAGGGGUCUGAGGGCUGAGGGGUUGAAGGGGCUGAGGGGCUGAGAGGCUGAAGGGGCUGAGGGGCUGAAGGAGGCUGAGGCUGGGGUAGGCCUGGAGAUGGGGUGGUCAGCCUGGGGGCUGCAGGGGUCUCCCAAGGCCUCCCUGUGGGUCUUUCGAGGGCACAGGCCCUGCUCCCGGAGGCUGGGAGUUCUGGCCGCAGGGCCUGUCCUUCAGUUACUAGGCUCCAGAGGUCGGUCCCAGCGCCUCAGACACCCACAUCCAGCAGGGACAGGGACAGCUCGCGGCUGGGAUAGCGUCAGCCCUGGGCCACGGCGGCUUGGCACCACAUCCCGUGACAGCUCUGUCUCCAGGCGUGCUCCCCAGCCCUGCCUGAAGAUGAACCCCAAGCCCUCGCCAGUGGCCAGGUAGGAACAAGGCCAGGAGCCCUGUGGAGAGGAGCAGGGGACCACUGCGUGGACGGGGCAGGCUGGGGCACAAAGGGCACUGCUUCCUCUGGAUAGCGCUAACUCCGAGAGCUCGGGCUCCUAUCCCUAGCCGGGGCGCCUGGCCUCCUGCAGUCGGGUCCCCAGCGGGUGAGCCGGGCGCAGGUGGACCUGACCGAGGAGGCGGCCGGAGCCCCUGCGGGUGAGGCGGGAGCGGCGAGCAGGAGGGCUGACUCAGAAGGUUUAUUUGCAGCGCUGGCGGGGCGGACAAUUGGCGGCCUCGGGGU
Molecule: long non-coding RNA, 1010 nt
Filed under: Homo sapiens (human)
Lineage: Eukaryota; Metazoa; Chordata; Mammalia; Primates; Hominidae
Description: HSALNT0122093
Source: RNAcentral